Molecule: regulatory RNA element, 80 nt
Organism: Colletotrichum gloeosporioides Cg-14
Lineage: Eukaryota; Fungi; Ascomycota; Sordariomycetes; Glomerellales; Glomerellaceae
Rfam family: Glycine riboswitch aptamer
About the family: This family represents the bacterial glycine riboswitch. Glycine riboswitches usually consist of two metabolite-binding aptamers domains with similar structures in tandem.
Source: Rfam
GGAGCAGCUUCUGGAGAGACCGCAUGUAUGUGCGGCGCCGAAGGGUUCACAAUCUCAGGCAAAAGGACAGAAGAGUACGA